UAGGGAAUCUUCGGCAAUGGGGGGAACCCUGACCGAGCAACGCCGCGUGAGUGAAGAAGGUUUUCGGAUCGUAAAGCUCUGUUGUUAAGGAAGAACGUGUGUGAGAAUGGAAAGUUCAUGCUGUGACGGUACUUAACCAGAAAGGGACGGCUAACUACGUGCCAGCAGCCGCGGUAAUACGUAGGUCCCGAGCGUUGUCCGGAUUUAUUGGGCGUAAAGCGAGCGCAGGCGGUUAGAAAAGUCUGAAGUGAAAGGCAGUGGCUCAACCAUUGUAGGCUUUGGAAACUGUGUAACGUGAGUGCAGAAGGGGAGAGUGGAAUUCCAUGUGUAGCGGUGAAAUGCGUAGAUAUAUGGAGGAACACCGGUGGCGAAAGCGGCUUUCUGGACUGUAACUGACGCUGAGGCUCGAAAGCGUGGGGAGCGAACAGG
Molecule: ribosomal RNA, 429 nt
Filed under: Bacteroidota bacterium
Lineage: Bacteria; Pseudomonadati; Bacteroidota
Description: Bacteroidetes bacterium partial 16S ribosomal RNA
Rfam family: Bacterial small subunit ribosomal RNA
Source: RNAcentral